Molecule: non-coding RNA, 188 nt
Organism: Nylanderia fulva
Lineage: Eukaryota; Metazoa; Arthropoda; Insecta; Hymenoptera; Formicidae
Source: RefSeq, a predicted model, not a curated record
AAUUACGCACCCCUGUCGCGCAGCCUGCGGUCUAAUCAGUUUGUGGUCGUGAGAAGACUAACAUCUCAGCAACUAACUUCGAUGUACUCAAACACCGAAAUGGCAGAAGAUAUACCGAUGAAUGAAGCCGACCACGUCGCCGCCGACUAUCGUAGAGGUUAGUUAUAUUUUAAUUUAAUUAAAUUUAA